GCGCGUCGAUGUCCGUUUGCCACAUUUAUUAUUCCCAAGAGAGAUUCACUCAGGAGAGAGAGUUCAUAACCUCAACGCUACGAGUGACACUUCGACAAUGCAAUAAACCCAGGGAUGCACCUUUGAGUAAUUAUAUUAACGCAGUAGCAUACAAUAGGUGCAACACGAGGUAAUAUCAUUUAAAUAUCAAUAUUAAUAAUGAUAAUAACCAACCCCCAAUUAACACAGCAAAUGCAUGUUAUAUCAAAUUUAGCCAAACCUAUUAUGUUGUUAUUGUUUACUUAAUAUAUUUUUCCUGAGGGUUCGUCGGAUAUCCGCAGUGUAAUAAGGAAGACACCUCCUUCACGUGGAGAGGACAGUGUAUAACCUCAAAAGGACACCGUCACAUACGACCACAUAAUAGACAUCAGAGUUAAUCAUUAAUGGUAUGCAUACAACAAUUUGUAGGUGCUAUUAAGGUCGCCAGAUAUCAAAAUUGUCACAGGAUAAGAUAUUAUGACGCAUACCUUGCUGCGGUGAGAGCAUUGUUCAUCCAAAUUCAGUAUAUUCAGUAACGAAACAGUCCUGAUUGAUGUGUCGUCAAUUGACUCAGAAGGAAACACACACCUGAGCAUCAACAUAUAAAUGCGGACAAGGAAGAUCACACUCCUAACACAUCACAUGGACCAAUAAUGCAAUGCACAACAGUGUAUGAAAUGUCGACAACCGACUAAAGGCACACAAUUGAGGCACCAAGCAUGAGUAUAAGGAAUACAGUACCGUAAUACCC
Non-coding RNA from Nylanderia fulva, 769 nucleotides. NCBI's taxonomy places the organism in Eukaryota, Metazoa, Arthropoda, Insecta, Hymenoptera, Formicidae. The record is from RefSeq and is a predicted model, not a curated record.